Columba livia (rock pigeon) is the source of this 9825-nucleotide long non-coding RNA. RefSeq lists it as uncharacterized. The transcript is spliced from 5 exons. Lineage: Eukaryota; Metazoa; Chordata; Aves; Columbiformes; Columbidae. The record is from RefSeq and is a predicted model, not a curated record.
CUCAUUCUUUAUCCCUUACAAAUAUGUAAUGGCAGGGUAGGAUAACACAUUUCUUUGCUUCUUUUCAGAAAGGAGGUGUUUGCACUAGAAUGAUACUUGAUACAGUGUGACAGAUAAGUACAUCAUUCAUUUAAACAGUCUAUUUUUGUUGUAAAAGGCUCAAAGGGCUGGAUACUCAGGCCCUAGAAUAAUAGCACUAGUUGCAAGGCUCUUACAAAGCAGGUGGAGUCCGGAUUUCAUUGCACUGCAUGAGUUCAGCAUUCAGUGGGAACAAUAUUAAACUAAUUCUGAUUUUGAAAAUCCAGCCUAUUUAGUAUUUAGUAUCUGCCAAACCAAGAUAAAUAUUUUCAAAUAGAUUCUCUUUGCAUUAGAAAAGAUAUUUUAAGACAGGGCAAAGCCAACUUGCUUUUUGAAGAAUUAUUCACAUAUGUAACAGAAAACAAAAAGAAAACAGAAAUUUAUAACUUACACUAUGAUAUCUGUAGUGUGGAAAGAACAUUUGCAUAUUUCUUCCAUUCAGUGUGCAAGAGAGAUUUACUAGAAGAUGUAAAGAAAUGUGCUACAUGAUACUGAAAUUUACUUUUUCCCCUUAAUGGCUGGGUCUCAUAGAAAUGUACCAGCUGCUGAGGCUGGCAGGCUUUUUAAAUUCCAUGCUUGCAAUUCAGAAAUAAUUUGGUUUUGGGAAUAAACGAGAGUAUGACAGUUUGUCUAUAAAUAUGUCACUAUCUGUUUACUUCACCGAGUGUCGAUUGGAUUAGUUCCUUAUUCAGGGAGAAGAAGCUGAAUCAGCCAUUGCAGACUUCCUGCUGCCUGGAAAAGACCCCUCCUGCUACCAAGGAAAGCCAGGACUGAAAAACCAAAUACUGUGCCCUUGACUUGGUUGUGGGAAAAACAGUUUGCCUAGUAAAGAAGACAUGCUGGAUAUAGCACUGUCAAAAUAAGUGGAGUGUUUCCUGUGAGAGCUGUCAAACAUUUCAUCUUUCAAAAAAUUAUAUUCUGCGAAAAUGCAAAGCAAGAAGGUGAAGAGGUUAUAGUCAAGCUAUCCACAUCCUUUUGACACAGAGAUUCUUCUUUGUAAUAGUUACAAUAAGAGACUUAAAUCCUGAAGAUAUGGAGACUUAAAGUACUACAAAGGAGUCUGUGAAGAAAUAAUUCCUGGAUUCCCAUCAAGGCACAUAGCUCAAAAAUGUUUUAUUUGAAGAAACAGCAAUUUAUGUUCAUAAUAAUACUCUUGUACUUGAAAUGGAAUUGAUGUGCUGAAGUCCAUGACUGAGAUCCCUACUUAGAUCCUUACCAUCUUGAGUCUGUACCUGCUUGACUCUCCAGUGGUACAGCUUUCUUAGAGUCUCACUUAUCUCAUACAAACGAUGGUGAGGUCACCACAUUCAGACAGGUCCCAGGACUUCUUCUGAAGGACAAAAAUUCCAGAUACUAAAAGAUAACAAUGACAUUCCACAGUUGCUUUUAACUAUAGCAUCGUAUUUCAGACGACUUAUAAUAGCUGUUGAAUAACAUCAUUGUUACUUAAAUAAAAAUGCUACCCACUGUUUUAUCAGAAUCACUUUUCAGUUGAAAUUUACAAUUGCAUCACUUAUCACAGCAAGAAAUCCAUUUUACUAAAAAUAAUAGAAGGAGGCACACUUUAUGCUAACUUAGUAUAGCAGUUCAUUUGAAACAAGUGAAUUCUAAAUGUCUGUGAGGGAGUCUUGUACUAAUUACACUGUUUUCCUAUAAUUCAUUUUCUAGAAUUUAGAAAAUAUAUCUAAGGCACUGACAUUUCUGACAUUUUCCAACUGUUUUCUCAGACGAUUUUUGAUGAAUAAAAAUAAUGGAUUCAAAUAUUUCAACAUGAACUUAACUCUUAAAAAAAAAGUAGACUUAAAAAUAGACCAAUGAAUUACUUCAGUAUGUACUUUUUUUUUUAAUCUUAGAGGUCCUUUAUAUUUUUCUGCAGUUCAAAUAUUUCUUCUCAAGAAAUACAUCAGGAAAUCUGGUCCCUGAGCCAGAAAUCUGCAUUAAUAUAAGCUUAAUUUUAAGAACGUUAGCCCAAAUUUGGUUAAUGAUUUCAAUUAGACUCUAUUAUUUUUGAUAUUUUCUGUACAUACUAGCUUCAGGAUAGAUUUCAUAAACAUUUGAAUGUUUUAAAUAUCUAAAUCAUAGUAGAUGGUAUAUUUCAUGUUUUUCUUUGGAACCCUUGAGCCUAGUUUUUUCCUUAACUUGAAUGAAUACAAGAAAAACAUUCCUCAGAUUUCAACUAGUGAUCUCUCUGGAUGCAUUCAGUGCCUAUAAACAAUUGGUAAAAUCCCUUUAUGUUUCUAAUUAAAAACUGUUGAUUCUUAAUGCUGGUCUUCAUAUAAUUUAAUUUUAGAAAACCAAUUUGAGUGUGAGCCGAUAAGUACAGGAACAUGAGAGGGAUUAUGGCCAGGAAUGGCCUAAACAUGAGAUUUGUAAAAGACCCUUAAGAUUGCUAAUCUAUGGAUUGAAGAGUUUAUCUCUUUGAGAUAGAGUGCAUGUCACUCUUCUACACAGGCCAGUCAUAAAAGAGAGAACAAAACCGCGUGUAUCAUUACUGUGAUUUAUUACUGUUUAUUUGUUAUUUUCUACUAUGUUAUGGUUUAAAAAAGUUACAAUAAUUCAGUCAAAUAGCAAACCCAUCACUAAGUUAAUUAAGCAAGCUUUUACACAGCAUGAAUAGCACAGAAUCUAAACUACUAGGAUAACUUUCAGCAACAUAAAUUACAUGACCAUCUUCCAAAUUCCUGUAUAACUUUAUUUACUUGCCAAUUUCUGCAUAAAAUUGAGGUGAAAGACCUAAAGUUUGCAGCCAAAUUCAAUACAAAAGCACAUUUUGUUUUCAACAGAAUGGUUGAAUGAGCAGGAUCUCACAGAACAAAAAAGAAAAGAAUAACACAUAGGAUCAAAUCCUGAAGGAUUUUAUAAUAGUGGGUGCACACAUACGGGAUCAAGGGUAAGUAAGAUGCCCUACACAAGCCUAGUUCGAAUUUGUUCUGACUUUCAAGUGUUAGGAUCCCAAUAACACAAAAGAACAGAAAAAUAAACUAAGUCAAAAUUAAAUUAAAGCAACUUAAAAGUUGCUUGUAUGUCUUUCUGUCUUCAUAGUGUGGCCCACACAAUCCUGCGGCAAUUGGUUCAAUUUCUUAAAUACUGCUUCUUAUUAUUUGAAUGCUUUUGUAAUAUUUUGUCAUACGCCCAGCAAAAGAUUCAUAAAGUAGAUGAUACACAUGAAACACUAAUCAAAAAGAGAAAAAAAAAAACAAAAAAAAAAACAAAAACCUUUUAUGUAUAGCCAUCUAAUUCUGGAGGUUUGGGCUCAAAUUUUUCACCUUAUCUCAGUCACUUGGUUGCAGUAAUUAAGUUAGAGCUUAGGCCUUCAUCUAUGCUUAGUGAAGCAAAUUAUCUUAAUGAGGCAGAAACUCUGAAAGUGUCCACAUGCCUCUAGUAUACAUACACAAAGAGAAAAUCUAAGGUGGUUAGUUUCCUAACUGAGACAUAGGAGUAACAUAGGUUAAGUGCAUAGUCUUCUGUGCAAGUCCAUUCAAAAAACUUAAGUUCUAUCACCUUAGUUUCCUAAUAUCUCUGCUCUGGUAGGUAAACGUUAUAGAACAGAGACCAAACAAAAUGUAGGGCAGGCAUUUUGUUUGGAAGACAAGCAAAUGAAAAAGGCUGUUCAAAGCCUGCAUGUAGCAGGAGUCAAAAAAUCACUUUUGUUAUGAGAUUUUCCGUCUUAUUCUUCUGGCCUACUCGGGCACACGUGACACCUGACAUCCUGGAGGACCUAACACUUGGGUAUUUGACGUUCCUACAACCAAAUAGUAUCGGUAUCACCUCUAUCAACCUGGACAUGUCCUGCCUAACUGAUAAGGAACAGAUAAAGAGGAUUGUAUUGAUCCAUUACCAUACAGUUAUGUUAUGAUAUCACUGUGAAAAUUUACUUUAUAGAUUAUUUAGGAAGAAUGCUUUAGUAGACCAUUUACAAAUACUGUAGAUUUUGUAUUAUUUUAUUUCUAAUCUCACCCUCAUUUGCUGUUUUGCAUGAAGCAUUUAGAUGCAUACUGCCCUAAAAAUGAACUCCCUGGCUAUUUGGAAUUUUUAUGCUGUUACUCCGUGGUCAAUUAAUUCCACUUAAGGUCACAGUUAUGCUUUUCUUUACGUGAGAUGAUACUUUUGUUUGACAUUCAUGUUACUUGUUAUAUCUCAUAAAAGUGAUUAAUGAAGAACUCCUAAUUGUGGCAUACAAGCUUUUUAUUCUUAACACUUCUGCUGCAUAAAGAUUUCUAAGCACUUGAAAUCUAAGUGAGAUGCUCUCCAUUCUGAGAUACAAGACUUAAGACUUAGAUAAAAACAAGAUUAGAUUCUGUAAGGAGUAUUGAACCCAAGUAUGCUCCCAACCCUUGAAGCACACCAUAACUGAGGUAGAAGAUUUGUCUCACAAUUCAGCAUAUCAAGAAAGCUUUUUUUUUUUUUUUUUUUUUGCUUAUUCACAGUCUACAUUAAAAAUUAACCUAAAACUUAAACUCUUACCAAUCUGGGCCUCCUUGUACUAUGUAUUAUAACUCUUGAACAAAAUAUACACAAAUGUACUUACUGAGGCCCAAUGGCUAUAGUAAUUUAAUCAAAAAUAUUUAGUAGUAUUUAGUAGCAUGUUUAGUUACUAGUUCAGUUACUUUAAAGACACCCUCUCCUUACCCUUUUAAAUGUUCAUAUGCAAGCUUAGUUUUACAAUCUAUAUUUCACACAUCAUAUUUUUUUUUCAUUGCUACACUCUCUAAAUGUAACUACAUUAACUGAAGGCAAAGUAGGUGAGAGGAAGAUAUUGCAUCUGGGAUCCCCUAGUUAAAGGCAAGAAUAAUAUUGUUGGCAUGUCUCAGGCCAAAGAUAUCGAAGAGAAGAAAACCUCAGUAAUCUGCAGGACGAACAGAAAAGGAAAAUAAGUUUAGGCUACAUUUAAAAGUUUUCCUGAUGUUGCUAUGCUGCUUCUGGAAUAACCUACUCUAUACAGAACUUGCCCAAUCUGAUACUCUUAAACUUUAUCCCUGAUGAACGCUUUCCAGUAUAGUACCCCAAGCAAGUAAGUGAUGAUAUACUCUGAGACAUCUGAUGCAAGAACUUUUGUGUAUGACUGUGGCAUGGAGAAAUUGUGAAACACUGACUAUUCUGUGCUCUAUUACUUAGGAGAAUUACAGAGCUCCUGCCAUCUGGUUGCACUACAUUCAGUUGUUCUAACGAACCUAAAUUAGGGAAAAGGUUGAGUACAUGUAGAAAAUAUCUGCCCCUCCCGUACACCUAUAAUUAAACAGAAUAGAGUAUUUCUGAAUAUGUUUAAGCUCAUUAGGUUUACGCACUGUCAGUCACGUUGUGGAACAAUCUUUCUCUUUUAAAAUUAAGAGGGACACCAUGACAAUCAAUAAUCAUUCUCUGCAAAAAUGUAUCAACAGUAGAAGGGAAGUCACAACAAAUAAGCUGUAAGAUAAGGAAGCAACUAGAAAAAAAAUAAUAUCCACAAAGCAAGUUUUUAGUAUUAGUAUUGUUUAGAUAAAUCUAAACUGAUGGAUGUUAGUCUGAGCCUUGUAUAGGUAUGAAAUAUUUAUCCUGCCCUUGUGCAGUCUGCAUAAGAGUCAGUCGGGAAUGAUAAAAGUCAGAUAAAAGAGGAACAAAGAAUGUUUUAAAUUGGUGCCUUUUUUAAUCAAAUCAUAAGAGUUUCAAAGGUUUUUUAAACUAGAAAGUUUCAGAGAAAUUGGAAGAGACCAGAAAGUGGGGAAGACAGAAUGAAAUAGCCACAUCCUACACCCGUACUCAAGUCAGAUAGGCAUGAAGCUUUCCUGGAGCAACUCUAGUGCUGCCAUCACUUCCUGAAGUUUCAGAGUCCCUUUCAAAUGACUACACCUGCCAAGUAUGCUCUAAUGCCUUUCUCAAGUACUGCACAUUCACAAGUAAGAAGUACCAAAAUGCCAGAAUAUGUCCAGGCAAAUGACAUUUAGAGUUGAUAUUUUCAAUCAAAAUUUAAUUUCAAAGUAAUAUGAGCUCUAAUUUUAUUUCAAGUUUUUGUUAAUUGUAUUUUCUUUCUCUUACAAUACAUCUCUUACAACCAAACAAUGAAGAGUUCUGUGGAAACAGAAGUGAGACAAAUUCUUUUUUUGCAAAAAUGUGUCAGGGAAAAAGUCUUCUUGGAUUAAUUUUCUAGCAAACUAACAAUCUUGACUACAUUACCUUUGCUGUAUUUGAAGGGGUGUAAACUGCUCUACUCUUUCUUUCCACUUCUCCAGGAAGUGAGAAACUCAUCCUCGUUUAUCACGACUGUAGUCUUUGUAGGUGUGUCAGCAGCAGAGAGUAAGUAGGCAGCAGAUUGGUUUUGUCCUGGUCCUUUGGAACAAUUUGUCUAUUGGAAUUGUGCAGGAAAAUCCUGUAUUCCCUGACCUGUUUUGAAAUUAUACUCUGGCACAUUGAACAAUAGAGAAAUAGUGAAUCAGGUUAACCUUUUUUUAAAAGAAAAAACAAAACAAAACACAUCCACACUGUCCCUUUCAACAACUAUGGAUGAUAACGCUCUCCUUUGGGAACAGUGACAUAGAUGAGGUUCGAUACAUCAGCCUCUCCCCCCAAACCCCCUCCAGUUUAAUAUGGAGAUAUCAGUAGCAAUAUGACAUAAAGCAUAGACAGAUCUUUUCCUCAUUGUUGUGUUCCUCACUGUAAAUUAAUAGAAGCCUGUGCAUGUCUGCAACCAGACUCAACAGGCUUGUUGGCCAAUAUGAACACCACUUCAGCCAUUGUCUUCCAGACAGACAGCGUAUUUAGACUUUUUGCAUCUUAGAUAAAAACCUGAAAGUUCAAGGACAACUUACCCUUAUUUAGUCUUGAUCAGAUUACAGACCAAGAAUACAGGACUUUUGCCUCUAUCUGCUUGUCUUCCAUCAUGCAGGGCUUUCCACUCAUUUAUUUCAUGCCAGAAGCAAUUAAGUUAAUUACUGAUUUUACUAUACCUUUUACUGUGAAAGUGACUGAACAUGGGAAAGGGUUUCUCAGAGAUUUUGUAGAGUCUCAACAUUUUGGUAGUCUAAAGUUUUGACUCUUUUGGUCUCCAAAACCCAACUGGACAUGGCCCUAGGGAACCUGCUCUACCUGACCCUGCUGUGAGUGAGGACUUGGGCUAGAUAAUCUCCACAGGCUCCUUUCUGAUUCUUAGCUACUCUAUGAUUCCACAGCUGCUUGAGGUAAACUGAUUUACGGAAUCUCCUUAUUGCAUAUGGUUCAGCCAUUUUCUGUGUUUGAACUACAGCCAGUAACAGUCAUGACAAUCUACUGUCUUAAGAAUAAAAAAAUAGCCAAUUUCUCACUUAUUAUAAUUUGUGUUUAUGUUUUUCCUUUUCUUCAGAGCUUUCCCACAAUUUUUUUCCUAAUGUUGAUUUAUAUGAAACUAUGCACUACUGGAAAAGAAAUGUCAAGUACUGCAGAUCCUUCCACAGCACAUCAGCUAUGUUUCUGUAUUCAACCUUCAAAACUGCAGAACUGGUUUCUCUGAAACUAUUUCUCUUCCAGGGGAAGAAAAUAUUGCUCCAGAAUAAUCUUAGCUACUGAAAAAAGCUACCACAGACACUGAAAAAGUUCUUUCUUGUUUACCGUCCCCAAAAUACAGGGUGUUGUAAAAUGAUGGACCCAAUUUCUUGUUGAAUUGCAGUUCAGAUUGGGUCUAUCUUCUGGAAACACCCUGUAGACAGGUUUUUAUCAGGUUCAUUUGAUGUGCCAAGUAUUUUAGAUAAUUUAUUAAGGACAGCUAAUUUUUCACUGAGAGUCAUAAUUGCAGAAAACAUCUAUGCUUUCUAUCUCUGGUGAAGCUAGAAUGGGCCUAUUCCAAGUACUAAUGACUUCUUCAAGGUAUUGGUAGAAAAUCAGAACAUAUUAGUUAUUUGAAUAAGGCUCAAAAGAACUGAACACACUAAAAAGUUUUGUUGUGUUUCUUCCUGCUACCUUAAUUGCCUGUGCAUCACUGCAUCUGGUUUUCUACAUGACCAAAAAUUUGCAUAUAUCCUGUUUCAAUGUCAGCUUAAGACUAAUGGUCCCACCUGUGCCCAUGUCUCUUGUCACUAAAAUUCCUUAUAAAGUCUCAUAUUUCCCAUAUGAUUUACAAGGGUAUGUCUUCCGUCUGUCUUCUCUACUUGAAAAUUAAAAAAGAGAAUAUCAAAGAGUAUAUAACUGUCCAAUAUGAAUUAUAUUUUUUGUAUGACUUGCUUUCUCAGUCACUGUCUUCUCCAGUAAAUCCUAGAGAUUUUUAAUCAGACUAACCACUAUUCAUGAAAAAAAAAAAAUAUUUUUUCUGUAUUGGGACUUGAGAAAACAAACUUUUCAGGUCAGGAAUUUUACUUACAUCCUUUUUCGCAGAGACUGAGAAAGAUUGUUUGUCUGAAAACAAACAUAAGAGUAAGUCCUAGUCAUUUUUAUUAGAAAACUGGAAUCUGCCUAAAUGUAUUUUGCUGUAGAAAUGGUCAAGAGUCCUCAUGUGAUUUUUUUUUUUAAAAAAGUUUACAUAGUGAAUUUUCUAGCUUUUCAAAAGGUUCUAGACUCAACACCAGAAAUUCUAUAGCUAAAAAUCGUUACAAUUCUCUCUGCAGAAUUGUAUAAAAAACCUGAAGUAUUAGCUUCAGUAUUAUUCACUUCACCAUCUCAUGGGUGCAAAAAUCCUACUGUGACUACAAGUGGUAGGAAAUAGUAAUGGAAAAUAAAUCUAAAAAGUUUCAAUUUUUUUUCAAAAUUUAAUGGGCAAUUUCAGUCAUAAGUAUGAAGUCUGAUACCAGCACAAGUGACUCAAGCUCUUUGUAUGAAGGCAGAAAUGGUUCCCAAGAGUUUACAGAAUGUAGUGUUUCCUGCCAUAGCCACUGAGAACUGGAGAUAGUCAGUGGUUGCUGUAUUCUGAUUGUGCAAGUAGAAAAUUGUAGGUAAUAAAACUUUGGUGGUUCUUGUCCUCUAUUAAUCCUGUUUCAAAGUUCAGUGUCAAUCAUUUUUUUUUCUUGUGAGAUUAAUCUCAAAUGCGGAAAGAUUGACUGUAAAAUCAGCAGUUCAUCCUAAAUCUUCAGAGACAUGGUAAGUCUUUGUGGGAUUUUUUGAAGUGUUUUUCUCAUGAUUGCUAAUGAUCUGUAAUUAUGUAUCUUUUUAACUUAUGUGUAUGUAUUUUUUGUGUAUGUACCUUUUCAGCUUUCUCUUCACACGCCUUGCCCAUUUAAAAAUAUGUUAGAAAUUACCCUUUGACUAUUACUGUGUUACAACAGGAGAACUCAUUAGAGAAAGGUUAUUUAAAUUUUUAGAUUCUAAUUAUAUUAGUCAAAGACAUUUUAGUUCAAAAAGAAAGAAGAAUCUUUUUACACUAAAAAUCAAAAAUAAUUCUGGGAACGACAUCAGUGUCUGAGGAAAGAGAAAUAUGAAAUGUAAUACUGAUCCCAGUCUUUGACUGAAGUCUGCUACUUUUUAAUCUACUUUUUAUUUUUUCAAACAUUUGGAACUGCAUAUUGAGUACGUGUGGAGGGGGUUUUGGUAGAUAAAGAUUUGUUGCUGAAUUAGUCAGGCUCAAAGGAAUCUCAAGGCCACUUCGAGAAGCUGAGAACAGAAUCUGCUGUGAGAGAGAGGGGCGUUCCUCAAUCACCGGGGUCCUGGCGUGGCUUGAAUCAUCGGACGUAUCAUCAGUGAGACUCCAGCGCAUGGACAGCCCAUGAUACUCAUUUAGCGAAUCCAUGCUUGGAGCCUGGACGCGUGAUUAGAAUAUAGUUGCAUAUAUAAGGAGGCUGGUUUCUGUAAUAAAUGGCUUUAGUGUGAUUCACA